Molecule: ribosomal RNA, 746 nt
Filed under: Clostridium perfringens
Lineage: Bacteria; Bacillati; Bacillota; Clostridia; Eubacteriales; Clostridiaceae
Description: bacterial LSU rRNA
Rfam family: Bacterial large subunit ribosomal RNA
Source: RNAcentral
GGUCAAGCUACAAAGGGCGCAUGGUGAAUGCCUUGGCAUCAGGAGCCGAUGAAGGACGUGAUAAGCUGCGAUAAGCUUCGGGUAGGCGCACAUAGCCUGAGAUCCGAAGAUCUCCGAAUGAGGAAACUCACAUGGGAAACCCCAUGUAUCAUUAAGUGAAUACAUAGCUUAAUGAAGGUAACCCAGGGAACUGAAACAUCUAAGUACCUGGAGGAAGAGAAAGAAAAAUCGAUUUUCUUAGUAGCGGCGAGCGAAAGGGAAAGAGCCCAAACCGGAAACUUGUUUCCGGGGUUGUGGACAUAGCAUGAAAGUGGAGGCUAUUGUAACUGAAGAGAACUGGAAAGUUCCACCGUAGAAGGUAAUAGUCCUGUAAGUGAAACGAGAAGACCACGAGUUAUGAUCCAGAGUACCACGAGACACGUGAAACCUUGUGGGAAGCAGGGAGGACCACCUCCCAAGGCUAAAUACUACCUGAUGACCGAUAGUGAAGUAGUACCGUGAGGGAAAGGUGAAAAGAACCCCGGGAGGGGAGUGAAAUAGAACCUGAAACCGUGUGCCUACAACCGCUCAGAGCCCCUUAUGAGGGUGAUGAGGUGCUUUUUGUAGAACGAGCCAACGAGUUACGGUAUGUAGCAAGGUUAAGUACUUAAGGUACGGAGCCGAAGGGAAACCGAGUCUGAAUAGGGCGACUAGUUGCAUGCCGUAGACCCGAAACCGGGUGACCUAUCCAUGGCCAGGUUGAAGCG